UGGAGGACCGAACCGACUAAUGUUGAAAAAUUAGCGGAUGACCUGUGGCUGGGGGUGAAAGGCCAAUCAAACCGGGAGAUAGCUGGUUCUCCCCGAAAGCUAUUUAGGUAGCGCCUCGUGAAUUCAUCUCCGGGGGUAGAGCACUGUUUCGGCUAGGGGGCCAUCCCGGCUUACCAACCCGAUGCAAACUGCGAAUACCGGAGAAUGUUAUCACGGGAGACACACGGCGGGUGCUAACGUCCGUCGUGAAGAGGGAAACAACCCAGACCGCCAGCUAAGGUCCCAAAGUCAUGGUUAAGUGGGAAACGAUGUGGGAAGGCCCAGACAGCCAGGAUGUUGGCUUAGAAGCAGCCAUCAUUUAAAGAAAGCGUAAUAGCUCACUGGUCGAGUCGGCCUGCGCGGAAGAUGUAACGGGGCUAAACCAUGCACCGAAGCUGCGGCAGCGACACUGUGUGUUGUUGGGUAGGGGAGCGUUCUGUAAGCCUGUGAAGGUGUGUCGUGAGGCAUGCUGGAGGUAUCAGAAGUGCGAAUGCUGACAUAAGUAACGAUAAAGCGGGUGAAAAGCCCGCUCGCCGGAAGACCAAGGGUUCCUGUCCAACGUUAAUCGGGGCAGGGUGAGUCGACCCCUAAGGCGAGGCCGAAAGGCGUAGUCGAUGGGAAACGGGUUAAUAUUCCCGUACUUGGUGUUACUGCGAAGGGGGGACGGAGAAGGCUAUGUUGGCCGGGCGACGGUUGUCCCGGUUUAAGCGUGUAGGCUGGUUUUCCAGGCAAAUCCGGAAAAUCAAGGCUGAGGCGUGAUGACGAGGCACUACGGUGCUGAAGCAACAAAUGCCCUGCUUCCAGGAAAAGCCUCUAAGCAUCAGGUAACAUCAAAUCGUACCCCAAACCGACACAGGUGGUCAGGUAGAGAAUACCAAGGCGCUUGAGAGAACUCGGGUGAAGGAACUAGGCAAAAUGGUGCCGUAACUUCGGGAGAAGGCACGCUGACACGUAGGUGAAGUGAUUUACUCAUGGAGCUGAAGUCAGUCGAAGAUACCAGCUGGCUGCAACUGUUUAUUAAAAACACAGCACUGUGCAAACACGAAAGUGGACGUAUACGGUGUGACGCCUGCCCGGUGCCGGAAGGUUAAUUGAUGGGGUCAGCGCAAGCGAAGCUCCUGAUCGAAGCCCCGGUAAACGGCGGCCGUAACUAUAACGGUCCUAAGGUAGCGAAAUUCCUUGUCGGGUAAGUUCCGACCUGCACGAAUGGCGUAAUGAUGGCCAGGCUGUCUCCACCCGAGACUCAGUGAAAUUGAACUCGCUGUGAAGAUGCAGUGUACCCGCGGCAAGACGGAAAGACCCCGUGAACCUUUACUAUAGCUUGACACUGAACAUUGAGCCUUGAUGUGUAGGAUAGGUGGGAGGCUUUGAAGUGUGGACGCCAGUCUGCAUGGAGCCGACCUUGAAAUACCACCCUUUAAUGUUUGAUGUUCUAACGUGGACCCGUUACCCGGGUUGCGGACAGUGUCUGGUGGGUAGUUUGACUGGGGCGGUCUCCUCCUAAAGAGUAACGGAGGAGCACGAAGGUUGGCUAAUCCUGGUCGGACAUCAGGAGGUUAGUGCAAUGGCAUAAGCCAGCUUGACUGCGAGCGUGACGGCGCGAGCAGGUGCGAAAGCAGGUCAUAGUGAUCCGGUGGUUCUGAAUGGAAGGGCCAUCGCUCAACGGAUAAAAGGUACUCCGGGGAUAACAGGCUGAUACCGCCCAAGAGUUCAUAUCGACGGCGGUGUUUGGCACCUCGAUGUCGGCUCAUCACAUCCUGGGGCUGAAGUAGGUCCCAAGGGUAUGGCUGUUCGCCAUUUAAAGUGGUACGCGAGCUGGGUUUAGAACGUCGUGAGACAGUUCGGUCCCUAUCUGCCGUGGGCGCUGGAGAACUGAGGGGGGCUGCUCCUAGUACGAGAGGACCGGAGUGGACGCAUCACUGGUGUUCGGGUUGUCAUGCCAAUGGCACUGCCCGGUAGCUAAAUGCGGAAGAGAUAAGUGCUGAAAGCAUCUAAGCACGAAACUUGCCCCGAG
Molecule: ribosomal RNA, 2053 nt
Filed under: Salmonella enterica subsp. enterica serovar Enteritidis
Lineage: Bacteria; Pseudomonadati; Pseudomonadota; Gammaproteobacteria; Enterobacterales; Enterobacteriaceae
Description: partial 23S ribosomal RNA
Rfam family: Bacterial large subunit ribosomal RNA
Source: RNAcentral